RNAcentral lists this ribosomal RNA (465 nucleotides) under Vreelandella stevensii. Its description in RNAcentral is "partial 16S ribosomal RNA". It matches the Rfam family "Bacterial small subunit ribosomal RNA", at positions 338 to 795 of the family's 1533-position model. The record is from RNAcentral. Lineage: Bacteria; Pseudomonadati; Pseudomonadota; Gammaproteobacteria; Oceanospirillales; Halomonadaceae.
CCUACGGGGGGCAGCAGUGGGGAAUAUUGGACAAUGGGGGGAACCCUGAUCCAGCCAUGCCACGUGUGUGAAGAAGGCCCUCGGGUUGUAAAGCACUUUCAGUGAGGAAGAACGCCUGGUGGUUAAUACCCAUCAGGAAAGACAUCACUCACAGAAGAAGCACCGGCUAACUCCGUGCCAGCAGCCGCGGUAAUACGGAGGGUGCGAGCGUUAAUCGGAAUUACUGGGCGUAAAGCGCGCGUAGGUGGCUUGAUAAGCCGGUUGUGAAAGCCCCGGGCUCAACCUGGGAACGGCAUCCGGAACUGUCAAGCUAGAGUGCAGGAGAGGAAGGUAGAAUUCCCGGUGUAGCGGUGAAAUGCGUAGAGAUCGGGAGGAAUACCGGUGGCGAAGGCGGCCUUCUGGACUGACACUGACACUGAGGUGCGAAAGCGUGGGUAGCAAACAGGAUUAGAUACCCUAGUAGUC